GAAGAAUCCCAUGCUACAAUGCUGCCCGGUGACCAUACACCAAAGGAAAAAGAGCUCAUUGGCAUUCACCAUGCCUAAGUUGUCACCGUGGCCCAUGAUUGUGUAGGUGGCUAACCUGUGCAUGUACCGCAAAGCAGGGUUGGUGAUACCCGUAGAUUUUGACUUACUGGAGUUGUAGACUUCUGUGUUCGGGGCUAUGGAAUGCCAGAAGUCAACACUGUUGUAGACCAUCUGAUUUUGC
This 241-nucleotide unclassified non-coding RNA is filed under the name Hevea brasiliensis (rubber tree). Lineage: Eukaryota; Viridiplantae; Streptophyta; Magnoliopsida; Malpighiales; Euphorbiaceae. The record is from RNAcentral.